Molecule: ribosomal RNA, 495 nt
Filed under: uncultured bacterium
Lineage: Bacteria
Description: partial 16S ribosomal RNA
Rfam family: Bacterial small subunit ribosomal RNA
Source: RNAcentral
GACGAACGCUGGCGGCGUGCCUAAUACAUGCAAGUAGAACGCUGAAGGAGGAGCUUGCUUCUCUGGAUGAGUUGCGAACGGGUGAGUAACGCGUAGGUAACCUGCCUGGUAGCGGGGGAUAACUAUUGGAAACGAUAGCUAAUACCGCAUAAUAGUAGAUGUUGCAUGACAUUUGCCUAAAAGGUGCAAUUGCAUCACUACCAGAUGGACCUGCGUUGUAUUAGCUAGUUGGUGGGGUAACGGCUCACCAAGGCGACGAUACAUAGCCGACCUGAGAGGGUGAUCGGCCACACUGGGACUGAGACACGGCCCAGACUCCUACGGGAGGCAGCAGUAGGGAAUCUUCGGCAAUGGACGGAAGUCUGACCGAGCAACGCCGCGUGAGUGAAGAAGGUUUUCGGAUCGGAAAGCUCGGUUGUAAGAGAAGAACGAGUGUGAGAGUGGAAAGUUCACACUGUGACGGUAUCUUACCAGAAAGGGACGGCUAACUACGUG